This 1164-nucleotide ribosomal RNA is filed under the name Triticum aestivum (bread wheat). Its description in RNAcentral is "partial small subunit ribosomal RNA". The record is from RNAcentral. Lineage: Eukaryota; Viridiplantae; Streptophyta; Magnoliopsida; Poales; Poaceae.
AUGCUCCACCUCCGGCAGCGCGCCCUCUCCCAUCUCCUCUCCGCCGCACCAGCUCCUUCCACACCCCCUCUCCUCUCUCUCCACCGCCUCCUCUCCGCGGCCGCGGCCGCCAUCUCCCCGAACCCUAGAUUCGCCGUCGAGGACUACCUCGUCGGCACCUGCGGCCUCACCCGUGCCCAGGCACUCAAGGCCUCCGCCAAGCUCUCCCACCUCAAGUCCCCAUCCAAGCCCGACGCCGUCCUCGCAUUCCUCGCCGGCCUCGGCCUCUCCGGCGCUGAUGUCGCCGCCCUCGUCGCCAAGGACCCGCAGUUCCUCUGCGCCGGCGUGGAGACAACCCUGUCCCCCGUCGUCGUCGGUCUCACGGGGCUCGGUCUAUCCCCUUCUGAUAUCGCGCGCAUCGUCUCGCUCGCCCCGGGACAAUUCCGCCAUAGAUCUGUCGUCUCCAAGCUGGAGUACUACCUGCCGCUCUUGGGCUCCAUCGACAACUUGCUCCGGCCGCUCAAACACGGCUCCGGCUUCCUCGGCUCCCACCUCGAGAGGGUGGUCAAGCCCAAUGUGAAGCUCCUGGCAGAGUGCGGGCUAGGUGCUUGUGAUAUUGCCAAGCUGUUCAUUCAAAUACCGAUGAUCUUCACCGCCAGCCCAGAGCGUGCCCUGGAGAUGGUCGCGACCGCCGAACGUAUAGGUGUGCCCCGUGGCUCUGGGAUGUUUAGGCAGGCACUGCAUGCUGUCGCAUUUCUCAGCGAGGAGAAGAUUACUGCCAAAGUGGAACAGUUGAAGAAGACAUUGAGGUGGUCGGAUGCCGAUGUUGGCAUUGCUGUGUCCAAGUUGCCGACUCUUCUGAGACGGUCAAAGGAAGUGCUGCAGCUCAAGUCCGAGUUCCUCCGCUCUAAGGUGGGCUUGGAACCGGCGUACAUUGCUCAUCGACCCGCUAUGCUCACUUACAACCUGGAGGGCCGGCUCAGGCCCCGGUACUAUGUUAUGAGGUUUCUUAAGGAAAAUGGAUUGUUAAGUCACGGCAGAGACUACUAUGCUAUGGUCUCGAUCAGCGAGAAGGUAUUUGUGGAGAAGUUCAUAUGCCCUCACAAGCAAGCUGCACCACACCUUGCUGAAGACUAUGCAGCUGCUUGCACAGGACAGGUGCCUGCUACAUUCAGAUUUACAUGA